Long non-coding RNA from Homo sapiens (human), 2390 nucleotides. RefSeq lists it as uncharacterized. The transcript has 11 exons. The record is from RefSeq and is marked validated. NCBI's taxonomy places the organism in Eukaryota, Metazoa, Chordata, Mammalia, Primates, Hominidae.
GUAGAACUUCCGGCAGCAACUGCAAUUAGGGGUAGUCCAGUGCUAAAUUGUCGCAGCCUUGAAAAUAUUCUGCUUCGUUAUUUCGGGCACUCCACAGAUUCUGUUGCGAAGGCAGCCAUCUUUAGUUCGUCUUUCCUAGAGAGCGUUGAGAAGAUUCUGCUCCAUUUUUUCUGAUUAUGGAUUCUGUUCAGAAGGAAGCCGAAUUUUAAGUCAUCGUUCUAGGAUAGAUUCAGCUCCAUUUUCUCUGGUGGUAGAUCUCCAUGGAUGCUAUUGAGAAGGUACUUCUCAAAGUCCACGAGGACAAGGACAUCUUUCCACCGAAUGCCACCUGGUUUAUAACAAAAGCAUGAAAAACAAACAGGAAUUUCUCAAUGCAGAAAGGACUGAAGCUGUCAAAGGUGUGCUUUUUUUCUGCACAAACAAGUUUCCAUUGAAUGAUAGAAUAAAGAGAUACUGACUUCCCCGGAGCCUCCAAACUUGAGUAGUCAGCAGGCAUUGGGAUCCGUGGAAGGCUUGUUAAAUCCAAAUAGAUUGGUCCUACUCCAUCCGCAGAGUUGCUGACGAGGUGCGUCCAGGCCUUCUCCUCACCUCUCAGGGAGAUAUACCAUGCAGUGCCUUCAGUUAUGGUGUUGUGACUGAGGAUGCUUCGGUCAGACAUGUCCCUGAAAACCUGCAUAGAGGAAUCUCUUGCCCCAAGUUUCAUUCCAAGUAUUUAAAUUGGAAUUGAGCAUCCUGUCAUGCCAGGGAUGAGAAUGCCUGGGUUACAUCAGUUAGCCCUCUCCUCUUGAGGAAUGGCAUAUUACCCAUUUUAGCUGCACUUCAAGGGAAGUUAUUGAAUAUGUCCUAUCCAACUAAAACAAGGAAAUGAUGAAAAAAAUAAAAUCACUUUCCAGAGGCCUCAGGGCUAACUGGAGACAGAGCUCAGACUGCAACUGAGAAAAGUUGGACUCCAAAACCUGUACUCUGAGCUUUACUGCAUGAGAAAGUUAUUGAAAUGUGCCUUGUGACAUUCAGAAUAAGUGACUUUUCAGAGGUCUCAGAGUCAGUAAGAGACAGAACUCAGAUUGUAACCAAGAAGAGCUGAACUCCAAACUUCUGUGUCCGGAAUUGGUGGGUUCUUGGUCUCACUGACUUCAAGAAUGAAGCGGCAGACCCUCGCGCAUUUCAGUUCCUUGGUGCUCCUUGGAUUUGAGGAAAUUCCAAUAUUUCCUUUGGAGUCACAUGGAUACUGCCUAAUUUUCCCAGCAGGGAUGUAUGAAAACACAUGCUUGUUUUCAAGUGAAGAUAAUCCCAUCACCAAUUCUGCUUUAGCUGCAUAAAGAAAGCUGAUCAAAAACAUGCCUGGUGGAUUUAUUGUUAUUGGUUCUGUUGAUAAAUAACCUAUUUUUAUAUAUUAGGACCCUUUUUUCUAUAAACAUAGUUGAAAUAUUUCCUAAGUCUCCUGCCUUGCAUUAUUCUAGCAGGUUGUUCCCUUAUUACUGUCCUGAUUAGUGGUACUUCUGAUAUUAUUCUUCUGAAUGCUAUGUUGAAGCUUUUAGAAAUGUGAAAUAAGGGGCCAAAACUUUCUGGUGUCAUGGGCUUGGUAACUAAACAGGUCUUUGUUUUGGGUUCUAGAUGACUAUCUGGAAAAUGCGGCCAAGGGCUCUUCUCACAACCAGUCAGCAAAUCCAUUAUCUGAGUUGGUUAAAGAGUGCUUUUGGCAGUUUUGGAAAUCUUCUAAACCCAUCAGAUUCCUGAAAAAAAAAAAAUUUUAAUCCACUGUUAUUGAAGUUUUCUACUUUAUAUAGCUCAGCAUAAUCUCAGCUUAGGAUCCUUAAUAUAAGUAACACUUACUUGAAUUACCCAGGUGGUUUUCUGACUUUAUAUCAAUCAUAACCUACUGUAAUCAUACACAGAAAAAUGGUGUUUCAGCCAAUGAUAAACCACAUGUACAAAGGUGGUCCCAGAAGAUUACAAUGAAAUGUAUAUAAAAACCUAAUAUAUGACACUUGAUAUUGACAGGUCAAAUCAAGUAGGGGAAAUGAUUGACAUUCAGUAAUGGUUCUGGGGCAUUUGGCUUUCCUUAUGAAAAAAUAUAUAUAAAUAUAAAUAUAUAUAUAUAUAUAUAUAUAUACCAUCUAUGUUUGUGUAAGUUUGUGUACACUCUACGAUGCAAACAUAAGGAUGAAACCACCUAAUGGUGCAUUUCCCAGAACGUGUCCCCAUCAUUAAGCAAUACAUAAUUGUAUUUACAUUAGUAAAUUUUCUUUUUUUGUGAAACCAAAUGCACAAGUGAUUAAAUAAAAUGGAUAAAUUGGACUUAAUAAAAUUAAAACUAUUUGUUUCAAUGACACCAUCAAGAAAAUAAAAAGACAUCUCACAAGCUGAAAUAAAAUGUUUACAAUAUCCCA